GUGUUGCCAUAGUUACUGCCAAAUUCUGCAAUAACUUUUGUUGCCUUGUAACUGCUGUAGUGUAUAUUUGCGUAUAAGCAGCUGAGUUUUCUCCAUUCGACCUCCCUCCCUCUUCCCAACCAGCAGCAGCAGCACCAACACCACCGUCACCUCUCCCGGCUGGACUCUGAAACCACCACACCAGCUUUCAUUAGGCCGUCCCAGAAUCAAGAGCGGAAUUAUCAGAAGCAAUUAAAACUCCACGCAACCGCGAUCAUAUUACUCAGGAAAAAGCGAAACCAGGUCAAGGUGCAAGCCGCCGGCACCCCCCAAACCCGCCGGGGCGCAGGGCCAGGGCUGUUUACAGGUUUACUCCCAGGCCUUAAAAGCUUAGGUGGUUUGUGGGAACGGGAGAAAAGCCUGAGAAGAGAAAAGCGGGCAGGCGAAGCGAUUACAUAGGCCUUUCCUCCCUCCCGGCAGGCGCGCUGCUCUCAGCAAGCAAUUAGGUAGGUCUCUACAGUAAUGCAAUUAGGAUUUAGUUAAGAAAGUCAUUACUUCUAAAAUAACUUAAGUUUAAUUUCUGCAACGCUUUAUUUGAAAAUUGUGUCACAGCAGGUCAAUUUACAGCAUGCAAUAAAGAAAACACUCCCUAUCAGCUGCUGCAAGUUAUUACAGAUUUUCGAUGUACAUUAAACGAGUGCACCCGGCCUUUCCAACGGAUACGCGCGAUCUCCAGCGACAACAGGGUCACCCAAUUUCGCGAUCAAGGCUGCUGUGCCUUCCUGGAACUCAGAACUCUCAGCUCUGCUGUGGAGCCCCAGAUGCUGCCCUACCCACCUUCUCCUUCCCACCGGCCUCAUCUUGCACCUACCCGAGCUGUACUUUGCUUCCUGCCUGCUGACGUGGCCUGCCCUCAAACUCAGGAGCGAGUACCCUAGGGGUAUUUUUACCCAUUCAUUGGCCAGGGGCUCCUUUGCUCAAUUCAGAUAGAAAUCAUGAAUAAGCAAAGUGCAAGUGCCCUAGUGUAGCUGCUCUAGUGUUACCCACUCCGAACUGUGAAUGCCAGCAGCUCUCAUCUCCUCAUGUUAGCAGCUGUCCUCACUGCUCUCCAAGCCAUGAAGCGAGCAGCUCCAGCAGCUCUCCAAGGUCUUCAGUCACUCAGAGGGAAAAGUUCUCCCUUGUUAUUGGUCACUCUCUGGUUGGAAGCCACCCACAAUGUUACCAGCUCUGGCUGCUGGCCAUUUUCGGUGCCUACUGCCUUUAGUGUUACCAGCAAAUAAUGCAGCCAGUUCAGCCUACCCUACUCCAGAUUGAAAUCACAAAUAUGCAAAAUAAAGUUCUCCA
RNAcentral lists this long non-coding RNA (1323 nucleotides) under Fukomys damarensis (Damara mole-rat). RNAcentral's name for it is "lncRNA (ENSFDAG00000027961.1)". Lineage: Eukaryota; Metazoa; Chordata; Mammalia; Rodentia; Bathyergidae. The record is from RNAcentral.